Molecule: RNA transcript, 3756 nt
Organism: Sabethes cyaneus
Lineage: Eukaryota; Metazoa; Arthropoda; Insecta; Diptera; Culicidae
Exons: 5
Source: RefSeq, a predicted model, not a curated record
UAAAGUGUCAAGUUGAGACGCGUUAGCUUUUUUAGAUUUUUAUAAUUUGUGAAUCUGAUGCAACUUUCCGUGUUGUAGUUAAAUUGUAAUUGAUCAGAAGUACUAUCUUCCGGCCAAGCACCUGCUGCGAAGAACAAAAUCGUGGCAAACAUUUGUCUAGCAGUGAAAAAGAGCGUUCUAUUUUUUCCCUGUUCGAACUACGUAGGAAAGCGCUUGGAAAAGUGAAGCGAUUGUGGUGUGGCGGCGACGGCAGAACAGCAGUGCUGCGAGAGAACGCGGGAAUUAGUGCCUGCAUCGAGAACUGUUUUUGACUUACGAAUAGCAAAUAAAGCAAAGCUAUUCCUAGACGCGAAAGUCAAUCGGUGUGACAGAUCAACAUAAACAGAGCGCUGAUUAAACGUUUGCUAUUUUGAGGUUUUGGAGCCAAAACGCCAAAAGAGCGAUUCAAACUAAACUAGGAACUAAGAGCCUGUUCCGUUGCCACAAUGCCUCGAUUGAAGAAAAAGGAACAGCCGGUUACGUCGCCGUCGGACUCGGCUGUUACGUUGACAGCCGGUCGCUCGAGACGUACCAUUAAACCGAAUCGUAAAUAUCUGAACGACAGUGUCGUACUGGCUACCGCUUCCAAGAGUUCGUCUCGUUCGACCAGUCCGGACAGCGACAAUAGUGGCGAUGAGUAUCACCAGGACGUGGACGAUGAAGAAAUUGCACCGAAACCAAGCGCCGGACGAAAAAGCGGAGUUGGCGGUCGAUUGCAAACACCCGCAGCAAAGCCGCGCGGCAGACCGAGAAGGGAUGGAAUUGUGAAAACAGCUUCAAAAACUGAACCGAUCAAAAAUUUGCGCAAGGAGGUAUUGAAAAAGAUGGAUUUAUCUACCCUAAACAUCGGUAAACCAAGAGUAGUUCUUACGCCGAUAACUAAGUUAGAUCUCAAACGCAAAUUGGAUCUGGAUCAAUCAAUUGAGAAAGGUAAACAACCAGUCUUCAAGCCGAAGCCGUCUUCCGUGGAAAAAGUUUCCAAAACGGAAGAAAAAUCCAAAUUGGAAAUCCGACCUCUACGUAAACGGCAACAGGAAAGUCCAGUAGCUCCGGAAAAACCGGACACUUUAAAGAAAGUUAUCAACCCUGUGGCCGUCAAAAAGCAGCAAGUGGAAAAAUCAAUAUUGGUAAAUCGCAGUCGAAAAGAGCCGACUUCCAGUUCCAGUGACGAAAGCGAUGACGAUGUGCAGAUCGUUGGUAUCAGUCGUGAGCCAGAACCUAUGUUGGGGAGAAAGACAGCCAGAAAAAGCCCGUUGGGUUUGAAGCAAAUUUCUCCGGCCACUACCAAGACAGUAAAACCGCUGAUCACGGGCAAACCUACCCCGCCAGUUGCAGUUCUUAACAAGCGGAAAUUAGAAGAAACUGAUGAGGCUAAAGGGGUUAAAAAAAGACUCCUCCCGCCUAAAACAGCUAAGCUGACAAUGCUGGUUGAUUCCGAUGAUGAGGAUGAAGAUGAAGAUGAGGACGAAGAUGAACCAAGCCGCCGUUCAACAAGAUCAAGUUUGCCUUCCGGUAAAAGCUCGGCCACUUCGACUCCUCAAAAUAUUUCUACCGCAAAAACUAAAGAGUCACCGGCUUCAGCUGGUGCUAAACUUGGCAAAAGCUCUGAGCAAUUUAAGACCAACCUUACGAGAACCUCUAGUAUGCCAACACUUGACAAGAGUAAACUUAUCGUGCGACCUACUGUACCGAAGUUGCCCAUGCAAACUUCCGUGCCGAAGUCGUCUGGUUUAAUGAAAUCAACCCCUCAAUUAGCGUCGAAGCCUACGCCAGGCAUGUUGACAGAGAAAAAAAGCAAAUCCGAUUGGAAUCUCAUGGACCCGAUCCGUGCACCUCCUGAGCCAGGAUCGAAGGCACUUGAUAAAGGAAAGUUGAAAAAUGCUACCAUUAGAAUUGUCGAUAUUGGAGAUAUUAUAAAAAACAAAUCCGCCAGCACUCCCGACAUUAACAAAGCUGGUAUUCUCGCCAGAAAGAGUUUACUGAAGGACUCGGACGAUAGUGAAGAUUCUGAUGAAGGACCCCAAACGGAAACGCCAAAAACAAACAACCAACUAGUGGCAUCAAUUCUGGAACGCAAGCGACCCAUCAACUUGGAUCAUUUGCGGCUGAACCGCUCGGCAAAACGAGGGCGUCCUUCCUUGAGUUUGACAAAGACCCAAAGCCCAGACAAAGCAGGUCCGAAGAUCGUGCGCCCAUCCGUCAUUGAGCUGGAAGAAGAUGAAAUAGAUUUUGAGGAUAUGCUGCAAACAAACAUUGUCACGGCGAACACUGUUCAAAAGGGAACGAUACAAAAGAUAAUUCCUGGACGUCGAAAGUCAUCGGUUAUGGCAGAUGAAAAUGCUAAAAGUGGCAGUGGUACUAAGUCUGGUACUGUCAGAACCACUGCAGCUUCCACCAAUAACAAUGUGUACAAAUCCAACAACAACGGUCGGUUCGGUUCUCAGAGUUCUAUUAAUCGGUCUGGUUCUUCCAGCCCGCAGAAAAAUCCACCACGGAUUUUGAACUCUACUAUGAAGCUAGGUGACAGUCGACCAUUCGCGAAGCUAGUGCCGAACAGCGGUGACAAGCACUACUCGAUCGAUUUGACCGAUCCAGACAAUGAUGUGAAAUUGAUCGCGUCCCCUGGAUCACCUACAAUAUCACCGAUAAAGCGAUCACCCUCGAAGGUAGCUCCGCGACCCGUCGUAGCUUCCGGUGGACUUCGAAAUGCAUCCAAUGUCCUUAACAAACCGGUCGGUGGAGCCGUGCAGCGGUCAGUUUCGUCGCUGACGACUUCGGCUGGCAGUAGUCCAAAAAUGAAGAAAAUCACAUGCUACGAGACUUGGUACGUAAUCAACAUCCCGAAUAAUGAGAAUAAACCCGAACGGCCGUCGUUUGCAAUGUCGAUGAUUGGAUUGGGCAACAUUGCUGCGCAAGUUCAGCUUCCGUCGACGGAAUGGUCACAUAAAAUCAUACUGACCAAACGGAAGAUUUCUCCGACUACCGGGGAUGAAGUUUUCAGCGGUGAUGUGGAAGACCGAGCCAUAAGCGAAGACGAAAAGCGAAACUACGAGCCUUGCAAUAUUAUGUUUCGACGAAAAACGGCCGUCCCUGGCAAGUUCAAUCUGCAGUACGAUCGAGCAGUUAUAUUUAAGAACGAUACAUUUUUCAUCAAUGUCGAUGGUAAAAAUUGUCAACUCGUGGGAGCUCCGUCUAAACUGGACGAUACCGAAGACAUUGAAACGUUGUUGGCCGUCGUGGAUUACAUCAAUUUGAAAAACAACUGCGUGGAACUGUCCACAGCCUGAGCCCAAUUGCAGCCGGAAGGUGACCGAUAUCUGUAAAUAGUUUUUUUUACCAAGCAGAACACUCAUCCCCCAAUCCAGGAACCCUGUACGCUCGACCCGUACGUUAAAGCGGAUAAUCCGAACUGACUUUUCGUGACUAGUGGCUUGUGUACACAAGUGUAUCCACCUAGAGGAUAUUGCAUCGCAUGGGCAUGGUAUGAUCUGCAAUUGGGCUGUUUUCUUGAAAAGUGUUAUAAAUUUACUUUAAGUGUAAGAAUUAUACUAAUGUGUUGUAAAAUUGGUCAACAUCAGCAAUCAAGCAUAUUAAGCAAAGCAGAAAUGCUGUGCUAUUCAGCUUCUACAUAUUGGGCUCACGAUACAUACAUACAACAAAAAACUAUUACAUUAAAUUGUAACAUCAAAUAAAACUUUAUUCAGUAUAGUAAUAAAA